GAUGAACGCUGACGGCGUGCCUAAUACAUGCAAGUCGAGCGAACGGACGAGAAGCUUGCUUCUCUGAUGUUAGCGGCGGACGGGUGAGUAACACGUGGAUAACCUACCUAUAAGACUGGGAUAACUUCGGGAAACCGGAGCUAAUACCGGAUAAUAUUUUGAACCGCAUGGUUCAAAAGUGAAAGACGGUCUUGCUGUCACUUAUAGAUGGAUCCGCGCUGCAUUAGCUAGUUGGUAAGGUAACGGCUUACCAAGGCAACGAUGCAUAGCCGACCUGAGAGGGUGAUCGGCCACACUGGAACCGAGACACGGUCCAGACUCCUACGGGAGGCAGCAGUAGGGAAUCUUCCGCAAUGGGCGAAAGCCUGACGGAGCAACGCCGCGUGAGUGAUGAAGGUCUUCGGAUCGUAAAACUCUGUUAUUAGGGAAGAACAUAUGUGUAAGUAACUGUGCACAUCUUGACGGUACCUAAUCAGAAAGCCACGGCUAACUACGUG
This 497-nucleotide ribosomal RNA is filed under the name uncultured bacterium. Its description in RNAcentral is "partial 16S ribosomal RNA". It matches the Rfam family "Bacterial small subunit ribosomal RNA", at positions 28 to 507 of the family's 1533-position model. The record is from RNAcentral.